This 400-nucleotide ribosomal RNA is filed under the name phytoplankton environmental sample. RNAcentral describes it as "partial small subunit ribosomal RNA". It matches the Rfam family "Eukaryotic small subunit ribosomal RNA", at positions 587 to 988 of the family's 1831-position model. The record is from RNAcentral.
AGCUCCAAUAGCGUAUAUUAAAGUUGUUGCAGUUAAAAAGCUCGUAGUUGGACCUCUGGUGGGAGCGAUCGGUCCGACGCUUUGCGUGGGUACUUGUAUCGUCUCCGGCCAUCCUUGGGAAGAGCCUGUCUGGCAUUAGGUUGUCGGGCAGGGGAUUCCCAUCGUUUACUGUGAAAAAAUUAGAGUGUUCAAAGCAGGCUUAUGCCGUUGAAUAUAUUAGCAUGGAAUAAUAAGAUAGGACCUCAGGACUAUUUUGUUGGUUUGCGCCCCGAGGUAAUGAUUAAUAGGGACAGUUGGGGGUAUUCGUAUUGUGCUGUCAGAGGUGAAAUUCUUGGAUUAGCGCAAGACGAACUACUGCGAAAGCAUUUACCAAGGAUGUUUUCAUUAAUCAAGAACGAAA